AUACGUGCCAGCAGCCGCGGUAAUACGUAUGGUGCAAGCGUUAUCCGGAUUUACUGGGUGUAAAGGGAGCGUAGACGGAUGGGCAAGUCUGAAGUGAAAGCCCGGGGCUCAACCCCGGGACUGCUUUGGAAACUGUUCAUCUGGAGUGCUGGAGAGGUAAGUGGAAUUCCUAGUGUAGCGGUGAAAUGCGUAGAUAUUAGGAGGAACACCAGUGGCGAAGGCGGCUUACUGGACAGUAACUGACGUUGAGGCUCGAAAGCGUGGGGAGCA
RNAcentral lists this ribosomal RNA (270 nucleotides) under uncultured bacterium. RNAcentral describes it as "partial 16S ribosomal RNA". It matches the Rfam family "Bacterial small subunit ribosomal RNA", at positions 501 to 770 of the family's 1533-position model. The record is from RNAcentral.